AUGGGUGCAGGUGCACAGACAAAACACCACGUGUGGACACAGAGAGAAGGCGGCCACCUGCAGGCCAAAAAGAGAAGCCUCCGCAGAAACAAGCCUCCGUGUGCUUUGAUCUCCGACUCGCAGCCUCAGACCUGGGAGAAAACGACCAUCUGUUGUCGAAGCCCCAGGCUGUGCUAUUUUGUUCUGGCAACCGGAGGAAAUUCCUACAGAUAUGUUCACAGACGGCCCUGGCACUCCCAGGCCCAUGCCCAGGGUGAAACCUCCAGGAAACCCAAGCCCAGCGCGACCUCCCAGUCACAGGUGAAGGGCUGCCUGGCUGGCUGCUGCCCACACAGGCUCACAGCUCACAGGGAGCCCGGUCUGAAGCCCCAUCCGCUCAGAGGCGCCUUCUCCAGAAAGCCCGAGGGAAGAUGCCACCACCGCAGCUCUUCACACCGCUGUCCCUCUCUGAGCUCCAGCCUCACCCCAUCCAGGACAGAGUUACACUCAGGCCGGAGUGCAGGGCCCAGGACCAAGGCUCCCUGCAGCGUUGACCUCCCGGGCUCCAGGAUCUGUCUUCCCACCUCAGCUUCCUGAUGAGCUGAAACUACAGGAAAACAAGCACCAGCCGACCGGCCCCCACACUUCAGCAGCCGGGACCUGAGGCCCUCCUCUGAACACCUGGAGUGUCGGGAGCAACCACACGGCAGCUGCUCCUCGGGAGCCUGGGCCCAGCUUUGGACGCCGCUGCUUCUCCCCCGUGCUCCGGAGGUACCACAGGGUAGGGCCAGGCAGCCCUCCAAGGCCCGGGAGACGCCUCUCCAGGGUCUCUGCUGAGCUCGGAACGCCGUGGUCACUGUGAGCUCCCGGAUGUUUGAGCUCCAGGGAUCCCUAGUGUUCUGGUUUUGGCCACUCACUUCUCCAAUAUCUGGUUAGCAAUUUUAUUUAAUUUUUGUGUUUUUUUAGACAUGGGGUCUCGCUGUCACCCAGGCUGGAGUGCAGUCAGUGGUGCAGCCCUGCCUGACUGUAGCCUUGAACUCCUGGGCUCAAGCCGUCCUCCCUCCUUAGCCUCCCAAGUAGCUCGGACUACAGUAGCUAGGACCAGGCUGGUCUUGCACUCCUGGCCUCAAGUAAUCCCCCUGCCUCAGCCUCUCAAAGGGCUGGCAUUACAGGCGUGAGCCACCAUGCCUGGCCAGCAAUUCUUCUUCCUUUUUUUUUUUUUUUGAGAUGGAGUCUCGCUCUGUUGCCCAGGCUGGAGUGCAGUGGCACGAUCUGGUCUCACUGCAAGCUCCGCCUCCCGGGUUCACGCCAUUCUCCUGUCUCAGCCUCCUGAGUAGCUGGGACUACAGGUGCUGCCACCAUGCCCGGCUAAUUUUUUUGUAUUUUUAGCAGACUCAGGGUUUCACUGUGUUAGCCAGGAUGGUCUCAAUCUCCUGACCCCGUGAUCCUCCUGCCUCAGCCUCCCAGUGUGCUGGGAUUACAGGCGUAAGCCACCGCACCUGGCCAGCAAUUCUUUACAUUAAACUUUCUGUUAAAAUAACUGAUGUGAUUUUGUUCCUAAAUGGACCCUGACUGAUACAGAAGUUUCAAAAUAAUGACUCAGUUUCUCUCCUUAUUUCUCUUCCAGUCUUCAUCCUCCAAGAGAGAGUUUUAAACUGUUAAAGAACUUGAGGUACUAAAAUGAAUCACAGCUGCCACAGCAAACUUGACAUGUGAACAGUGUCAAGUUUUUAAAUGCUUCCAUUUAUAUUACCUCACUUGAUGCUCUCUUCUUGCAUUCAUUCAAUCAUGUUUUAUUGAGCAACUGCUAUUUAUAAGGCACAGGGUCUGGUACUGUUAAUACACUGUGAACCCCAACAUUUGAGACAGGUGUCAGUUUAUCUAGAAAGUUUAUUUUGCCAAGGUGGUGGAUGCGCCCAUGACACAGCCUCAGGAGGUCCUGACGACACGUGCCCAAGGUGGUCGGGGCACAGCUUGGUUUUAUAUAUUUUGGGGAGACAUGAGACAUCAAUCAAUACAUGUAAGAAAUACACUGGUUCCGUCCAGAAAGGCGGGGACAACUCGAAGCAGGGAGGGGCUUCCAGGUCACAGGUAGGUGGGAGACAAGUGCUUGCAUUCUCCGAGUUUCUGACGAGCCUCUCCAAAGGAGGCCAUCAGAAGACGCAUCUGUCUCAGGGAGCAGAGGGUGACUUUGAAUAGAAUGGGAAGCAGGUUUGCCCUGAGCCAUUCCCAGCCUGAGUUUUCCCUUUAUCCUAGUGAUUUUGGGGGCCCAAGAUAUUUUCCUUUCAUAACACACAAAAAACAAGAUAUUCCCCCCAUGAGGAUAACUGCUAAACUGCAGGGGUUUAUUUUUAUUACUUAAAGGAGGUUUUAUAAAGCCUCUAAUUGAACACAGAAAAAGGCAAAGAACUGUCCAAGAAGAGUUAUAUGGACUGAGUUUCUGCCAUUUAGAAAGUUUCCACUUAAGGUAUCCACAUUUGUUAGCCAGAGUCAUCAAUUAAAUAAUUUAGAAAGAAUAGAAAAGGAACAGGAACCUAGAACUUAGCACGCAUCCGAUAAAAGACCGCUAUUGCCAAGAAUUAAGAAAUAUAGCAUUAAACAGCAGAAACACACAAAAAAUAAAAUAAAGAAAAUAAAAAAUAGAGUAAAUUUAGUCCAAGGAUGUUAUAAACAAUCCACAAUGACAAUAAUAGCAAGGCACUGCUUCUUCAUGGAGCUUUAGAUUGACACAUUGUGAUCUUUUCAAAAUCCCUCAGAGUGCACGUGUCAUGAUUUUUUUCUUUUUUUCUUUUUUCUUUUUCUUUUUGGUACAGGAAUGUUCAUAGUGGCUUUUCUUACAAUGGCCAAAACCUAUAAACCACCCAGUGACCAUCAACAGGUGAAUGGAAGCAGACACUCACAAAGGUUGAGUGACUUAGCAAUGUGACACAGGCAAGAAGUGGCACAGCAGGCACCAGACUCUGGGGUUCAGUGCUGGCUGCCAAUCCUGCAGCGGUUCA
Molecule: long non-coding RNA, 2978 nt
Organism: Papio anubis (olive baboon)
Lineage: Eukaryota; Metazoa; Chordata; Mammalia; Primates; Cercopithecidae
Source: Ensembl